AAUCUCAUUCACUACUUUGGGAAUAGCAUUUGCCACCAUCUUCUGAGCAUAAGUCACCUCAACCUUUGCUUCCUUGUUUGUCUCAAUUGCAUUAGUAAGCUCAGCUCGCCUGGAUUGAAGUAGAGCAAUUUGAUUGUCAAUUUCUUGCACAGUCAAUAAAUUUGAAUCCACCUGCGAUUGCAGCUGGUCUGUUUUUUCCUUCAAUUCAUUAUACUCGUUCUUCAGAGAAGCAACCUUGGCCU
Molecule: unclassified non-coding RNA, 242 nt
Filed under: Hevea brasiliensis (rubber tree)
Lineage: Eukaryota; Viridiplantae; Streptophyta; Magnoliopsida; Malpighiales; Euphorbiaceae
Source: RNAcentral